This 391-nucleotide ribosomal RNA is filed under the name uncultured bacterium. Its description in RNAcentral is "bacterial SSU rRNA". It matches the Rfam family "Bacterial small subunit ribosomal RNA", at positions 30 to 416 of the family's 1533-position model. The record is from RNAcentral.
AUUGAACGCUGGCGGCAGGCUUAACACAUGCAAGUCGAGCGGAUUACAGAGCUUGCUCUGUAGUUAGCGGCGAACGGGUGAGUAAUACCUAGGAAUCUGCCUAUUAGUGGGGGAGUAACGUGUGGAAACGCACGCUAAUACCGCAUACGUCCUACGGGAGAAAGACAGGGGAGUCUUCGGACCUUGCGCUAAUAGAUGAGCCUAGGCCAGAUUAGCUAGUUGGUAGGGUAAAGGACCGUACCAAGGCGACGAUCUGUAGCUGGUCUGAGAGGAUGGCCAGCCACACUGGAACUGAGACACGGUCCAGACUCCUACGGGAGGCAGCAGUGGGGAAGUAUUGGACAAUGGGGGCGAACCCUGAUCCAGCCAUGCCGCGUGUGUGAAGAAGGCC